Molecule: transfer RNA, 60 nt
Filed under: Polyplax reclinata
Lineage: Eukaryota; Metazoa; Arthropoda; Insecta; Psocodea; Polyplacidae
Description: tRNA-Pro
Source: RNAcentral
CAAAAAAGAGUUUUUAGAACACUAGCUUUGGGAGCUAGAGGUCCCUUACAGGUUUUUUGA